Long non-coding RNA from Drosophila elegans, 1460 nucleotides. RefSeq lists it as uncharacterized. The transcript is spliced from 3 exons. Lineage: Eukaryota; Metazoa; Arthropoda; Insecta; Diptera; Drosophilidae. The record is from RefSeq and is a predicted model, not a curated record.
CAUGACUUCAACGCAGGCUUUUCAAUUUUUCCAAGCGGAGGGAGCGAGGAAAAAAAACGUUAUCAAAAUUUAUUGAGCGCUGUCAUGAAGCUGUCAAAGUCGAUAUCAAAAACAUUUGAUUUUUGACUUUAUUUUGGCAGCCCACAAGCAACAAGCAGUCCGGAGUUCCGAGUCCCAAGGCCCGAGGCCAGGGCCCAACCCAAUUCCAGAGUCCCCAAAGAAGUCCCAGUCCAACCCCAAAAUCCCACCCAACGCACAUUAUAGCCGCGACCGUAUGUGAUUCCCCCUUUGUUGUUGUCUCGGCGAAAAGAAAGAAAUAAUCAUAAUAAAAAAGCCCAUAAAAGAGCCGUGAGCCAUGCAACCAUGUCAAAAAUUUUCAUGCUCUCCCAAGGCGCUGGCACAUUGAUAAAUUAAUGAUUGCCAAGGCUGGCAAAGACGUCGGAAUGGAAUGGAAUGGCGAAUAUAAAGCGACUGAGGUGCAGUCGAUGGGGUUGAAAGAGAUCCUUGGCUUCAAUAGGAAUUUCGUAGGCCUUCAACCUAAUGAAUAUUAAUCGUAGCCUGACUGACUGACUGAGUGAAUGCCCAGUGUUCGCCACUCGCACCUGUGUCUAUAUAUCAAGCAACAAAGCCACUUGUCUUAUCAGCCGGCGCGACUUUUCAGCAUGAGAGGUCCACUGGCGACUGUGGGCUGGCAGCAAGUUUUUAUGCUUUUUUGCGGUUUUGCCACUUGAAACGCUGAACAUGGCGGAUUAAUGUCAUUUAUCACUCUCUUGCUUUGCGGGGAAGGGGAUUUUGGAUUUCGAAUGGGCCUUUGGUUGGCAUUGGCAUUGGCAUUAGCAGGCAUUUGAAAUGUACAAAAUAAAUAAGGGACUCGCUGAAUCGCAAGCCUACACACUCGGUUACAGUUUAAGCCGUCGAUGUUGCUGGCUUUGUUCGCUCGGUUUUGCUUUGUUGCCGCAAAAAGGAUAAUGACAAAUAAUCAAGGAUAAACGCUUUUGAUUGAUCUUUAAUGGCAACUCGUUGCCUCCGUUCCCCAGUUGCCUUUGACAUCCGCAGGCGAAUGUAAAUCAUAUUAACUUAAAUGUACCAUAAAACAAACCAACGAGCCCAUGCGGAUUGGGUUGGCUUGCGACGAGAAACUGGGGUGGAGUGCGUGCCCAGGACACUUAUCCUUCGGGCCACACACGGGCUUAUGAGCUUGCCACAUUCUUUUGCAAUUGUACUGUGUAGCGGAAAAUGCUUUUCAAUAUAUCAAAGGGAGAGGGCAAAUAAAUAACAAGCUGAGACGAACCAGCUAAUGAAGGAGUCGACUGGGAAAUGCCCAUGGUCAAAAAGCAUUUGUAGAAAAGUAUUGUUAUAUUACAAAAUUAUUUUUUGUACAAAUCGACAAAAGCUUUGCUGUUUAUUAAUUUAAAGAUUUUCUUUAACAAAAAGUAAAUAGAUGCCGACAAGUAGAUGUC